Molecule: ribosomal RNA, 644 nt
Filed under: uncultured Bacillota bacterium
Lineage: Bacteria; Bacillati; Bacillota
Description: bacterial SSU rRNA
Rfam family: Bacterial small subunit ribosomal RNA
Source: RNAcentral
GUCGAGUGCACGUCCCGGUAGCAAUACCGGGAUGGCGCACGGCGCACGGGUGCGUAACACGUGGGCAAUCUGCCCUCCGAUGGGGAAUAACUCCGGGAAACCGAAGCUAAUUCCGCAUAACAUUCCCUGGACUCCGGUUCGGGGAUUCAAAGCAGCAAUGCGUCGGAGGAGGAGCCCGCGCCCGAUUAGCUAGUUGGUGAGGUAACGGCUCACCAAGGCCAUGAUCGGUAGCUGGUCUGAGAGGAUGGCCAGCCACACUGGAACUGAGACACGGUCCAGACUCCUACGGGAGGCAGCAGUGGGGAAUCUUGCGCAAUGGGCGAAAGCCUGACGCAGCGACGCCGCGUGGGGGAUGAAGCUUUUCGGAGUGUAAACCCCUUUCGACCGGGACGAAUGCCCGCAAGGGAGUGACGGUACCGGUAGAAGAAGCCCCGGCUAACUACGUGCCAGCAGCCGCGGUAAGACGUAGGGGGCCAGCGUUGUUCGGAAUUACUGGGUGUAAAGGGUUCGUAGGCGGUGUGGCAAGUCGGGAGUGAAAUUUCUGGGCUUAACUCAGAGGCUGCUUCCGAAACUGCUGUGCUCGAGUGUGGGAGAGGCGCGUGGAAUUGCAGGUGUAGCGGUGAAAUGCGUAGAUAUCUGCAGGA